This is a non-coding RNA of Oryza sativa Japonica Group (Japanese rice), 664 nucleotides long. NCBI's taxonomy places the organism in Eukaryota, Viridiplantae, Streptophyta, Magnoliopsida, Poales, Poaceae. The record is from RefSeq and is a predicted model, not a curated record.
CAUGGCGCCGCGCAGAUUCAUGUUCCUCCAUCGAUUCGAAUACCUCAUUCACUUCAACAACCAAACACAGUCUGACCGGUUGAUGUUCUCCUGGAUCGAUCAUCAGUCAAUCCACACCGUUGAUCUCAUUCACUUCAUCCGCUAUGCCUACCAAGGGCAUUUAUAUUUGCACAUCAUCUUAUUGAAGCUAGCAAGCCUGCAACCAAUUCCUGCUCAGUACUAUCGAUCCUCCAUCCCUAUCUCCCUGCAGUCGUACCGCUAGCGGCGCCGCCGCCGACCAACAAGGCAAAGGACGACGGAGCCUCGAUCUCCACGUCUAUAUGUUUAUGAUUCACUAACGAAUAUUGGCUAUAGCCGACUGGGGGUGCCUGACGAGAUAUGGCCGUUGCACUGCCAUCACACAUUCACACCAGCUUCGACAUGAACAAAGCUGCAGAGUAUUGAAAGCUGAUUCUGUGAUUCGUUUAAUUUGUACUACUAAUUUAUUAUAUGAGCUAGGCAAAAUCACAUAGCAUUUACAUACAUGGUUUUUUUUAUUCGUUUACGUGCUAUUUGCCAUUUUGUAAUUAAAUCUGUUAAGCGAAGAACCACUUACAUGGACAACACUCAAUCUCACAUGUUUUAGCACUAAUUAUAAAUUAUUCGUACAUAAUUUUACCACAUA